GGGGCAUGCGAGGGCUGUCGCUGACUCAAAGUCGUGCACGCCCGAGUGUGUCGCCUCACAUAAUAAUCCAUCUCACCCUUUGUGCAUCACCGCGUGAUCAUCUCGGAGGGGGCUCGCGUUUUCACACAAAACCCCCCUUUUAAAAGUGUAGAAUGACCUCAUUUAUGCGCUAACCCGCAAUCAAUACAACUUUCAACAACGGAUCUCUUGGCUCUCGCAUCGAUGAAGAACGCAGCGAAAUGCGAUACGUAAUGUGAAUUGCAGAAUUCAGUGAAUCAUCGAAUCUUUGAACGCACCUUGCGCCCCCUGGUAUUCCGAGGGGCACACCCGUUUGAGUGUCGUGAAAACCUCAACCUCCUUGGUUUCUUCUGGAGACCAAAGCAGGCUUGGACUUUGGAGGCCUUUGCUGGCACCUCUCGCCAGCUCCUCUUAAGUGAAUUAGCAGGGUCCUCUUUGCUGAUCCUCGACGUGUGAUAAGAUGUUUCCAUGUCUUGGNUUCUGGCUCUGUCACCUUUGGGANCCGCUUCUAACCGUCUUCAACCUUGCGUUGAGACAACGUUCGAGCAUGUCUCCCUUCUCGGGAAGCUCCCUCGACCCCACGAACCCUUGA
Molecule: ribosomal RNA, 610 nt
Filed under: uncultured Lactarius
Lineage: Eukaryota; Fungi; Basidiomycota; Agaricomycetes; Russulales; Russulaceae
Description: eukaryotic LSU rRNA
Rfam family: 5.8S ribosomal RNA (bases 188-341)
Source: RNAcentral